Molecule: ribosomal RNA, 428 nt
Filed under: uncultured Verrucomicrobiota bacterium
Lineage: Bacteria; Pseudomonadati; Verrucomicrobiota
Description: bacterial SSU rRNA
Rfam family: Bacterial small subunit ribosomal RNA
Source: RNAcentral
UCGAGAAUUUUUCUCAAUGGGCGAAAGCCUGAAGGAGCGACGCCGCGUGGGGGAUGAAUGGCUUCGGCCCGUAAACCCCUGUCAUUUGCGAUCAAACCGCAUUAUUUAAAAGAUGAUGCGCUGAUAGUAGCGGAAGAGGAAGGGACGGCUAACUCUGUGCCAGCAGCCGCGGUAAUACAGAGGUCCCAAGCGUUGUUCGGAUUCACUGGGCGUAAAGGGUGCGUAGGUGGCCGGGUAAGUCUGAUGUGAAAUCUCCAAGCUCAACUUGGAAACUGCAUCGGAUACUAUCCGGCUCGAGGAUCGGAGGGGAGACUGGAAUACUUGGUGUAGCAGUGAAAUGCGUAGAUAUCAAGUGGAACACCAGUGGCGAAGGCGAGUCUCUGGACGAUUCCUGACGCUGAGGCACGAAAGCCAGGGGAGCAAACGGG